GCGAGUGUAAUUCAACGGUAGAAUGUCAGCUUCCCAAGCUGAAAGUCGCGGGUUCGAUUCCCGUCGCCCGCUCCA
This 75-nucleotide transfer RNA is filed under the name Deltaproteobacteria bacterium. RNAcentral's name for it is "tRNA-Gly". It matches the Rfam family "tRNA". Rfam says of the family: Transfer RNA (tRNA) molecules are approximately 80 nucleotides in length. Their secondary structure includes four short double-helical elements and three loops (D, anti-codon, and T loops). Lineage: Bacteria; Pseudomonadati; Myxococcota; Myxococcia. The record is from RNAcentral.